This 253-nucleotide ribosomal RNA is filed under the name uncultured bacterium. Its description in RNAcentral is "partial 16S ribosomal RNA". It matches the Rfam family "Bacterial small subunit ribosomal RNA", at positions 524 to 776 of the family's 1533-position model. The record is from RNAcentral.
UACGGAGGGUGCGAGCGUUAAUCGGAAUUACUGGGCGUAAAGCGCGCGUAGGCGGUUUGUUAAGUCAGCUGUGAAAGCCCCGGGCUCAACCUGGGAACUGCAGUUGAUACUGGCCGACUAGAGUACGAGAGAGGGAGGUAGAAUUCCAUGUGUAGCGGUGAAAUGCGUAGAUAUAUGGAGGAAUACCAGUGGCGAAGGCGGCCUCCUGGCUCGAUACUGACGCUGAGGUGCGAAAGCGUGGGGAGCAAACAGG